RNAcentral lists this ribosomal RNA (459 nucleotides) under uncultured Synergistaceae bacterium. RNAcentral describes it as "bacterial SSU rRNA". It matches the Rfam family "Bacterial small subunit ribosomal RNA", at positions 925 to 1382 of the family's 1533-position model. The record is from RNAcentral. Lineage: Bacteria; Thermotogati; Synergistota; Synergistia; Synergistales; Synergistaceae.
ACACGCGGAGGAGCAUGUGGUUUAAUUCGAUGAUACGCGAGGAACCUUACCUGGGCUCGAACGUAAGAUGACUGUAGGUGAAAAGCUUACAUCUCUUCGGAGCAUUUUACGAGGUGCUGCAUGGUUGUCGUCAGCUCGUGCCGUGAGGUGUCGGGUUAAGUCCCGCAACGAGCGCAACCCCUGCUGCCAGUUGCCAACGGGUGAAGCCGGGCACUCUGGCGGGACUGCCAUCGACAAGAUGGAGGAAGGUGGGGAUGACGUCAAGUCAUCAUGGCCCUUAUGUCCAGGGCGACACACGUGCUACAAUGGCCGGCACAGCGGGAAGCGAGGCAGUGAUGCCGAGCGGAUCCCUUAAAGCCGGUCUCAGUUCGGAUUGAAGUCUGCAACUCGACUUCAUGAAGCUGGGAUCGCUAGUAAUCGCAGAUCAGCCAAGCUGCGGUGAAUACGUUCCCGGGCCUU